Molecule: ribosomal RNA, 1393 nt
Filed under: Streptomyces sp. C2(2015)
Lineage: Bacteria; Bacillati; Actinomycetota; Actinomycetes; Kitasatosporales; Streptomycetaceae
Description: bacterial SSU rRNA
Rfam family: Bacterial small subunit ribosomal RNA
Source: RNAcentral
CCAUGCAAGUCGAACGAUGAAGCCCUUCGGGGUGGAUUACUGGCGAACGGGUGAGUAACACGUGGGCAAUCUGCCCUUCACUCUGGGACAAGCCCUGGAAACGGGGUCUAAUACCGGAUACGAGCUUCCAAGGCAUCUUGGAGGUUGGAAAGCUCCGGCGGUGAAGGAUGAGCCCGCGGCCUAUCAGCUUGUUGGUGAGGUAAUGGCUCACCAAGGCGACGACGGGAAGCCGGCCUGAGAGGGGGACCGGCCUAACUGGGACUGAGACACGGCCCAGACUCCUACGGGAGGCAGCAGUGGGGAAUAUUGCACAAUGGGCGAAAGCCUGAUGCAGCGACGCCGCGUGAGGGAUGACGGCCUUCGGGUUGUAAACCUCUUUCAGCAGGGAAGAAGCGAAAGUGACGGUACCUGCAGAAGAAGCGCCGGCUAACUACGUGCCAGCAGCCGCGGUAAUACGUAGGGCGCAAGCGUUGUCCGGAAUUAUUGGGCGUAAAGAGCUCGUAGGCGGCUUGUCACGUCGAUUGUGAAAGCCCGAGGCUUAACCUCGGGUCUGCAGUCGAUACGGGCUAGCUAGAGUGUGGUAGGGGAGAUCGGAAUUCCUGGUGUAGCGGUGAAAUGCGCAGAUAUCAGGAGGAACACCGGUGGCGAAGGCGGAUCUCUGGGCCAUUACUGACGCUGAGGAGCGAAAGCGUGGGGAGCGAACAGGAUUAGAUACCCUGGUAGUCCACGCCGUAAACGGUGGGAACUAGGUGUUGGCGACAUUCCACGUCGUCGGUGCCGCAGCUAACGCAUUAAGUUCCCCGCCUGGGGAGUACGGCCGCAAGGCUAAAACUCAAAGGAAUUGACGGGGGCCCGCACAAGCGGCGGAGCAUGUGGCUUAAUUCGACGCAACGCGAAGAACCUUACCAAGGCUUGACAUACACCGGAAACGUCUGGAGACAGGCGCCCCCUUGUGGUCGGUGUACAGGUGGUGCAUGGCUGUCGUCAGCUCGUGUCGUGAGAUGUUGGGUUAAGUCCCGCAACGAGCGCAACCCUUGUUCUGUGUUGCCAGCAUGCCCUUCGGGGUGAUGGGGACUCACAGGAGACCGCCGGGGUCAACUCGGAGGAAGGUGGGGACGACGUCAAGUCAUCAUGCCCCUUAUGUCUUGGGCUGCACACGUGCUACAAUGGCCGGUACAAUGAGCUGCGAUACCGUGAGGUGGAGCGAAUCUCAAAAAGCCGGUCUCAGUUCGGAUUGGGGUCUGCAACUCGACCCCAUGAAGUCGGAGUCGCUAGUAAUCGCAGAUCAGCAUUGCUGCGGUGAAUACGUUCCCGGGCCUUGUACACACCGCCCGUCACGUCACGAAAGUCGGUAACACCCGAAGCCGGUGGCCCAACCCUUGUGGAGGGAGCU